GCCUGGGUAGCUCAGUUGGUUAAGCAUCUGACUUUGGCUCAGGUCAUGUUCUCAUGGUUUGUGGGUUUGAGCCCCACAUCAGGGU
Molecule: transfer RNA, 85 nt
Organism: Felis catus (domestic cat)
Lineage: Eukaryota; Metazoa; Chordata; Mammalia; Carnivora; Felidae
Rfam family: tRNA
About the family: Transfer RNA (tRNA) molecules are approximately 80 nucleotides in length.
Source: Rfam